Non-coding RNA from Cydia amplana, 73 nucleotides. Lineage: Eukaryota; Metazoa; Arthropoda; Insecta; Lepidoptera; Tortricidae. The record is from the annotation of a RefSeq genome assembly.
GCUUCCGUAGCUCAAUUGGUUAAGAGCAUCGCACGGAUUGCGGAGGAUGCGGGUUCAAGUCCUGCCGGAAGCG